Poecilia latipinna (sailfin molly) is the source of this 473-nucleotide long non-coding RNA. RefSeq lists it as uncharacterized. NCBI's taxonomy places the organism in Eukaryota, Metazoa, Chordata, Actinopteri, Cyprinodontiformes, Poeciliidae. The record is from RefSeq and is a predicted model, not a curated record. The transcript has 6 exons.
AUCCAAGAGAAGUAUAUGGGCAUAAGGGGGCAGGACUCCAAAAACACACCCACUUUUAUCAGCUCAAAAACCACCAGAUAAAUAUAGGUGCAACACUGACUUUAGGCGCAUAUUCACUUCACCUUGAGCUCAGGAAGACACUUGUGUUCUACUUUCAUCAUCAAGCCAAAAUGAGCGAUCCAGAACAACAAAAAAAGCCAGAACAGGAGGAGGAAUCAGGAUCAGGAUCUGAAGGAGAGGAAGGAAAGAAAAAAGGAAAGGGAAAAGGUCACGGACAUGGUCAUGGAAAAGACGGACACGGUCAUGGACAUGGAGGAGAAGGACAUGGACACGGACAUGGAGGUGGAAGAGGUGGCAAGUGAAAGAGACCACUGAGGCGACCCUAAAUAAAAUGAUAAAAAGUCAUUAUUUUGUCAAAAAGAUUAAUGUAUGAUUGUAUUGCAUUCCUCAUUAAAUAAUCUACAAAAUAAGAA